UCCCCUGUAGCAAAGUGGUUAAUGCGUCGUGCUUAUAUGUGUGCAACAUAUACCUAGGUCACGCGAAGGUCGCGAGUUCGAUCCUCGCCAGGGGAA
This 96-nucleotide transfer RNA is filed under the name Piptocephalis tieghemiana. RNAcentral's name for it is "tRNA-Ile". It matches the Rfam family "tRNA". From Rfam's summary of the family: Transfer RNA (tRNA) molecules are approximately 80 nucleotides in length. Their secondary structure includes four short double-helical elements and three loops (D, anti-codon, and T loops). Lineage: Eukaryota; Fungi; Zoopagomycota; Zoopagomycetes; Zoopagales; Piptocephalidaceae. The record is from RNAcentral.